RNAcentral lists this ribosomal RNA (726 nucleotides) under Halomonas sp. D17-7B. Its description in RNAcentral is "bacterial SSU rRNA". It matches the Rfam family "Bacterial small subunit ribosomal RNA", at positions 385 to 1103 of the family's 1533-position model. Lineage: Bacteria; Pseudomonadati; Pseudomonadota; Gammaproteobacteria; Oceanospirillales; Halomonadaceae. The record is from RNAcentral.
GAUCCAGCCAUGCCGCGUGUGUGAAGAAGGCUUUCGGGUUGUAAAGCACUUUCAGCGAGGAAGAAAGCCUCUGGAUUAAUACCCCAGAGGAAGGACAUCACUCGCAGAAGAAGCACCGGCUAACUCCGUGCCAGCAGCCGCGGUAAUACGGAGGGUGCGAGCGUUAAUCGGAAUUACUGGGCGUAAAGCGCGCGUAGGUGGCUUGGCACGCCGGUUGUGAAAGCCCCGGGCUCAACCUGGGAACGGCAUCCGGAACGGCCAGGCUAGAGUGCAGGAGAGGAAGGUAGAAUUCCCGGUGUAGCGGUGAAAUGCGUAGAGAUCGGGAGGAAUACCAGUGGCGAAGGCGGCCUUCUGGCCUGACACUGACACUGAGGUGCGAAAGCGUGGGUAGCAAACAGGAUUAGAUACCCUGGUAGUCCACGCCGUAAACGAUGUCGACUAGCCGUUGGGACCUUUAAGGACUUAGUGGCGCAGUUAACGCGAUAAGUCGACCGCCUGGGGAGUACGGCCGCAAGGUUAAAACUCAAAUGAAUUGACGGGGGCCCGCACAAGCGGUGGAGCAUGUGGUUUAAUUCGAUGCAACGCGAAGAACCUUACCUACCCUUGACAUCCAGAGAAGUUGGCAGAGAUGCCUUCGUGCCUUCGGGAACUCUGAGACAGGUGCUGCAUGGCUGUCGUCAGCUCGUGUUGUGAAAUGUUGGGUUAAGUCCCGUAACGAGCGCAACC